RNAcentral lists this non-coding RNA (23 nucleotides) under Arabidopsis thaliana (thale cress). Lineage: Eukaryota; Viridiplantae; Streptophyta; Magnoliopsida; Brassicales; Brassicaceae. The record is from RNAcentral.
CAUAUGUAACAUGAUGCAGUUCA